This is a ribosomal RNA of Gossypium arboreum, 313 nucleotides long. It matches the Rfam family "Bacterial small subunit ribosomal RNA", at positions 548 to 873 of the family's 1533-position model. The record is from Rfam. Lineage: Eukaryota; Viridiplantae; Streptophyta; Magnoliopsida; Malvales; Malvaceae.
GGUUCUUUGGGUCAAAUCGGGUUAGGGGUGUUACAGAACUUACUCAAUCAUACCCUAUGAUAAUUUACCUCACACUUGUACUUUGAAAACUUGAUACUCUCAAUAGUAAAUUCAUCCCUUAAGAAUUCGGCAAGUAAAACCACAACACAAAUGACGAAAGCUCUUUACUGGGCUGACACUGACACUGAGAGACGAAAGCUAGGGGAGCAAAUAGGAUUAGAUACCCUAGUAGUCCUAGCCGUAAACGAUGGAUACUAGGCGUUGUGCGUAUCAACCCGUGCAGUGCUGUAGCUAACAUGUUAAGUAUCCCACU